Molecule: ribosomal RNA, 492 nt
Filed under: uncultured bacterium
Lineage: Bacteria
Description: partial 16S ribosomal RNA
Rfam family: Bacterial small subunit ribosomal RNA
Source: RNAcentral
AUUGAACGCUGGCGGCAUGCCUUACACAUGCAAGUCGAACGGCAGCACGGGAAGUUGUUCCUGGUGCCGAGUGCCGGACGGGGGCGUGUUACAUAGGCACCGGUCUUGACUUGGGGGUGGGGGAGGAGGAAGCCGGACUUAUACUACUAACGCACAACGGCUGAGAGCGGGAGCCCUUGGGGCUUCGCGCUUUCGGGUUGGCAUGUGGCGAUGUAGGUUUAGGUAGGGGGCGGGGUAAAGGCCGACCAAGGCGACGAUCCGUAGCUGGUCUGAGAGGAGGACCAGCCACACUGGGACUGAGACACGGCCCAGACUCCUACGGGAGGCAGCAGUGGGGAAUUUUGGACAAUGGGCGAAAGCCUGAUCCAGCAAUGCCGCGUGUGUGAAGAAGGCCUUCGGGUUGUAAAGCCCUUUUGUCCGGAAAGAAAAGCAUGACGUUAAUACCCCCCUGUUAUGACGGUACCGGAAGAAUAAGCACCGGCUAACUACGUG